RNAcentral lists this ribosomal RNA (275 nucleotides) under uncultured prokaryote. RNAcentral's name for it is "partial 16S ribosomal RNA". It matches the Rfam family "Bacterial small subunit ribosomal RNA", at positions 524 to 798 of the family's 1533-position model. The record is from RNAcentral.
UACGUAGGGGGCAAGCGUUGUCCGGAAUUAUUGGGCGUAAAGCGCGCGCAGGCGGUCUUUUAAGUCUGAUGUGAAAGCCCACGGCUUAACCGUGGAGGGUCAUUGGAAACUGGAGGACUUGAGUACAGAAGAGGAGAGUGGAAUUCCACGUGUAGCGGUGAAAUGCGUAGAGAUGUGGAGGAACACCAGUGGCGAAGGCGACUCUCUGGUCUGUAACUGACGCUGAGGUGCGAAAGCGUGGGUAGCGAACAGGAUUAGAUACCCCCGUAGUCCCU